GAUUAUGGCUCAGGAUGAACGCUGGCGGCGUGCUUAACACAUGCAAGUCGAGCGAAGCGAUUCAAAUGAAGUUUCGGAUGGAUUUGAAUUGACUUAGCGGCGGACGGGUGAGUAACGCGUGGGUAACCUGCCUCAUACAGGGGGAUAACAGUUGGAAACGACUGCUAAUACCGCAUAAGCACACAGUGCCGCAUGGUACGGUGUGAAAAACUCCGGUGGUAUGAGAUGGACCCGCGUCUGAUUAGGUAGUUGGUGAGGUAACGGCCCACCAAGCCGACGAUCAGUAGCCGACCUGAGAGGGUGACCGGCCACAUUGGGACUGAGACACGGCCCAAACUCCUACGGGAGGCAGCAGUGGGGAAUAUUGGACAAUGGGGGAAACCCUGAUCCAAGCGACGCCGCGUGAGUGAAGAAGUAUUUCGGUAUGUAAAGCUCUAUCAGCAGGGAAGAAAAUGACGGUACCUGACUAAGAAGCCCCGGCUAACUACGUGCCAGCAGCGGC
RNAcentral lists this ribosomal RNA (502 nucleotides) under uncultured bacterium. RNAcentral describes it as "bacterial SSU rRNA". It matches the Rfam family "Bacterial small subunit ribosomal RNA", at positions 15 to 518 of the family's 1533-position model. The record is from RNAcentral.